UGGGGAAUAUUGCGCAAUGGGGGAACCCGUGACGCAGCGACGCCGCGUGCGGGAUGACGGCCUUCGGGUUGUAAACCGCUUUUGAUUGGGAGCAAGCGCAAGUGAGUGUACCUUUCGAAUAAGGACCGGCUAACUACGUGCCAGCAGCCGCGGUAAUACGUAGGGUCCAAGCGUUGUCCGGAAUUAUUGGGCGUAAAGAGCUCGUAGGCGGCGCGUCGCGUCUGGUGUGAAAGUCCAUCGCUUAACGGUGGAUCUGCGCUGGAUACGGGCGUGCUGGAGUGCGGUAGGGGAGACUGGAAUUCCCGGUGUAACGGUGGAAUGUGUAGAUAUCGGGAAGAACACCAAUGGCGAAGGCAGGUCUCUGGGCCGUUACUGACGCUGAGGAGCGAAAGCGUGGGGAGCGAACAGGAUUAGAUACCCUGG
Molecule: ribosomal RNA, 423 nt
Filed under: uncultured bacterium
Lineage: Bacteria
Description: partial 16S ribosomal RNA
Rfam family: Bacterial small subunit ribosomal RNA
Source: RNAcentral